RNAcentral lists this ribosomal RNA (490 nucleotides) under uncultured bacterium. RNAcentral describes it as "partial 16S ribosomal RNA". It matches the Rfam family "Bacterial small subunit ribosomal RNA", at positions 28 to 507 of the family's 1533-position model. The record is from RNAcentral.
GAUGAACGCUAGCUACAGGCUUAACACAUGCCAGUCGCGGGGCAGCAUGGGGGUUGCUUGCAAUCCCCGAUGGCGACCGGCGCACGGGUGAGUAACGCGUAUCCAACCUGCCCUUCACCACGGGAUAACCCGGCGAAAGUCGGACUAAUACCGUAUGUUGUCCAUUGACGGCAUCCGAUUUGGACGAAAGGUUUGGCGGUGAAGGAUGGGGAUGCGCCCGAUUAGCUGGACGGCGGGGUGACGGCCCACCGUGGCGACGAUCGGUAGGGGUUCUGAGAGGAAGGUCCCCCACACUGGAACUGAGACACGGUCCAGACUCCUACGGGAGGCAGCAGUGAGGAAUAUUGGUCAAUGGGCGUAAGCCUGAACCAGCCAAGUAGCGUGCAGGAUGACGGCCCUAUGGGUUGUAAACUGCUUUUAUGCGGGGAUAAAGUGGCCCACGUGUGGGUUUUUGCAGGUACCGCAUGAAUAAGGACCGGCUAAUUCCGUG